Non-coding RNA from Callorhinus ursinus (northern fur seal), 438 nucleotides. Lineage: Eukaryota; Metazoa; Chordata; Mammalia; Carnivora; Otariidae. The record is from RefSeq and is a predicted model, not a curated record.
AUUUGCUUACUUGAUUUCACUGUGUGUGGCCCAUAUUUGAGGAAUUGGAAGUUGUACUCCCCCUUCCUGAGGUCAGACAGAGUACCUAUAUAAGCACAGAUUUGUCUCUUCUAUUUAUUAAUUUAUUUAAUCAUUUAUUUAUAUAAUAUGGACUCAUGGAUAUUUUAUCCUUUUGGUUAUAAGCCAGUACUGCUUAUUCAGGUUGCUCCAGGUUUGGCCACUAGGAGCAUUUUCAGUUGGCUCCAUUUUCCCAUUGACAUAGCUCUAUCACUGAAGGUAGGUAUUUAUCUGUUUUUAUAUUUCCUUAACUUUCUGGCAAUACAAGAUGCUCUGGGCUCAUUUCAUCUAUUUCCUGCCUGGUUCUAGAAUCAGCCAUUUCUCCAAGGAGCCCUCGCUUAUUUUAUUGACAGAACAAAGAAAUACAUGUAUGUAAACUAA